UACGGAGGGUGCAAGCGUUAUCCGGAUUUACUGGGUUUAAAGGGUGCGCAGGCGGAUAUGUAAGUCAGUGGUGAAAUCUCCGGGCUUAACUCGGAACGGUCAACUGAUACUGCGCGGCUAGAGUGCAGAAGGGGCAACUGGAAUUCUCGGUGUAGCGGUGAAAUGCGUAGAUAUCGAGAGGAACACCUGCGGCGAAGGCGGGUUGCUGGGCUGACACUGACGCUGAUGCGCGAAAGCCAGGGGAGCGAACGGG
RNAcentral lists this ribosomal RNA (253 nucleotides) under uncultured bacterium. Its description in RNAcentral is "partial 16S ribosomal RNA". It matches the Rfam family "Bacterial small subunit ribosomal RNA", at positions 524 to 776 of the family's 1533-position model. The record is from RNAcentral.